UUCUACGGCCAUACCACCCUGAACGCGCCUGAUCUCGUCUGAUCUCGGAAGCUAAGCAGGGUCGGGCCUGGUUAGUACUUGGACGGGAAAUCUCAGCUUUUUGAGAAA
This 108-nucleotide ribosomal RNA is filed under the name Cavia porcellus (domestic guinea pig). Lineage: Eukaryota; Metazoa; Chordata; Mammalia; Rodentia; Caviidae. The record is from RNAcentral.